This is a long non-coding RNA of Homo sapiens (human), 574 nucleotides long. Ensembl annotates it as long intergenic non-protein coding RNA 534. NCBI's taxonomy places the organism in Eukaryota, Metazoa, Chordata, Mammalia, Primates, Hominidae. The record is from Ensembl.
GAGCACCCUGGGAAACAGUGUGGCUAUGACUUGGAGCUGCUCACCAGUUCCAGUCAUUCUGUGGUUGAGAGCUGCUCCCUAUGGAUGUUAAUUCUUCUCUAUUUUAGAUUUUCCACAGGUGUGGGCCCCAUUAGCUCUGGCCACCUGAGAAAGCCCUCAGGCAAAGAGUCGCAGGUGAAAGCCAGCAGUUAGAGGUUCACAGAAAUGAGUGCAGAAGCAUCUUCAGUUGGAGAGCCAUUGCCUCUUGCUGUGAAAUAUUUGGGAAUCUUCAGAAACCAUGAAGAAUAACCUGCUAAAGGCCACCAAGUUCUAUUGAACAUCAUGAAUCCUAUGCUCAAGUGAGAUCAGCUCAAGUGAGACCAGAUAUCUGAAGACCUUUUCAUUUUCGCCACCCUCAAAUGAAGGCAUGCAAGUUCAAUCUUAGACAUCUGUCAUGUGAGUUUACAGUGAGAAGAUGGCCAUCUAUGAACCAAGAAGUAGGCAUUGUCCAGACACCAAAUCUGCUGGCACCUUGAUCUUGGGACUUCCCAGCCUCCAGAACUGUGAGAAAUAAAUUUAUGUUGUUUAUAAGCCA